RNAcentral lists this transfer RNA (72 nucleotides) under Ovis aries (sheep). It matches the Rfam family "tRNA". Rfam says of the family: Transfer RNA (tRNA) molecules are approximately 80 nucleotides in length. Their secondary structure includes four short double-helical elements and three loops (D, anti-codon, and T loops). Lineage: Eukaryota; Metazoa; Chordata; Mammalia; Artiodactyla; Bovidae. The record is from Rfam by way of RNAcentral. RNAcentral also lists the same sequence under 1 other name.
UCCCAGGUGGCUUAGUGGUAAAGAAUCUGCCUGCCAAUGCAGGAGACUCAGGUUCAAUCCCUGGAUCAGGAA